UACGAAGGGGGCUAGCGUUGUUCGGAAUUACUGGGCGUAAAGGGCGCGUAGGCUGUGCUGUAAGUCAGGCGUGAAAUCCCCGGGCUCAACCGGGGAACUGCGUCUGAUACUGGAUGGCUUGAGUUCGGGAGAGGGAUGCGGAAUUCCAGGUGUAGCGGUGAAAUGCGUAGAUAUCUGGAGGAACACCGGUGGCGAAGGCGGCAUCCUGGACCGACACUGACACUGAGGAGCGAAAGCCAGGGGAGCAAACGGG
RNAcentral lists this ribosomal RNA (253 nucleotides) under uncultured bacterium. RNAcentral describes it as "partial 16S ribosomal RNA". It matches the Rfam family "Bacterial small subunit ribosomal RNA", at positions 524 to 776 of the family's 1533-position model. The record is from RNAcentral.